GAGCACGUAGGUGGGUUUGUAAGUCAGAUGUGAAAGCCUUCUGUUCAACGGAAGAAUUGCAUCUGAAACUACAAACCUUGAGUAUAGGAGGGGAGAAUGGAACUUCUGGUGGAGCGGUGAAAUGCGUAGAUAUCAGAAGGAACGCCGGCGGCGAAAGCGAUUCUCUGGCCUAUUACUGACACUCAGUGUGCGAAAGCUAGGGGAGCAAACGGGAUUAGAUACCCCGGUAGUCCUAGCCGUAAACGAUGGGCACUAAGUAGAGGGAAUUACCGAUGUUCUCUCUGCCGUAGCUAACGCAUUAAGUGCCCCGCCUGGGGAGUACGGCCGCAAGGCUAAGACUCAAAAGAAUUGACGGGGGCUCGCACAAGCGGUGGAGCAUGUGGCUUAAUUCGAUGCAACGCGAAAAACCUUACCGGGGCUUGACAUGAUAGAAGUAGGAACCUGAAAGGGGGACCAACGGUAUCCAGUCCGUAGCUAUUACAGGUGUUGCAUGGCUGUCGUCAGCUCGUGUCGUGAGACGUUGGGUUAAGUCCCCUAACGAACGAAACCCUUGUUUUUAGUUACCAGCGGGUUAUGCCGGGUACUCUAGAAAGACUGCCGUCGUCAAGACGGAGGAAGGUGGGGAUGACGUCAAGUCAUCAUGGCCCUUAUGCCCCGGGCUGCACACGUGCUACAAUGGUCGGUACAGACGGAAGCGAAGCCGAGAGGUGAAGCGAAUCC
RNAcentral lists this ribosomal RNA (720 nucleotides) under uncultured Candidatus Scalindua sp. RNAcentral describes it as "bacterial SSU rRNA". It matches the Rfam family "Bacterial small subunit ribosomal RNA", at positions 565 to 1274 of the family's 1533-position model. Lineage: Bacteria; Pseudomonadati; Planctomycetota; Candidatus Brocadiia; Candidatus Brocadiales; Candidatus Scalinduaceae. The record is from RNAcentral.